Molecule: non-coding RNA, 30 nt
Filed under: Mus musculus (house mouse)
Lineage: Eukaryota; Metazoa; Chordata; Mammalia; Rodentia; Muridae
Also listed under: 1 other name
Source: RNAcentral
UCCUAAUACAACUCGCUUCUCUCCCUUGCC